CUCAUUUUCUAUCUAUCAGUUUAGUCGGUUGUAGGUGAUAAAAAUUUGGUUAAUAUUUGGCUAAUAAAUAACUCGAUGGGAAAAAAAAAGAAAAUGUAUAUCUUGAAUUUAUCCUACAACAUGAAAACUGGCUGAAAUAUAUCAAAAUGCCAUGCAAGACGUAUUGGUACAGUUAAACCAUGAUACACGUGGUGCGGCAGAGUCUGCUGGAUUUUUUUUUGUAAUUUGGAGGUAAGCAAUCGCUGGCAUGGAAUUCGGCGCUAUCCACUGUUGUACAUACCGGAUUGACCUGAUGAAGUCCUUCAUUGACAAAGGGCUGCUGCCUAAGUGUACAACACACUGCUACAACAACAACUGGCCUUCACACGCGUUUGGCUGUUCCCCCCUGCCGUUUGAAAAUGGAUUUGCGGAAUAGCCAUAUUACUUUCAAUAGGAUAUAUUUCACCCAUAUACAUAUGACCGGUGACAAACUCAUUGAGGUGCCUAUGUGACGUAGAACAGAGCUGUUUAAAGGAACUUAAGGCGUUAGGUCCGCCAGGUUCCAUAUUUAGUAAACAUUCUGCUCGUAACAUGCCGCUUGGACAACAAGCUAAAUAGACAACAUCAU
Stomoxys calcitrans (stable fly) is the source of this 607-nucleotide long non-coding RNA. RefSeq lists it as uncharacterized. The record is from RefSeq and is a predicted model, not a curated record. The transcript has 3 exons. NCBI's taxonomy places the organism in Eukaryota, Metazoa, Arthropoda, Insecta, Diptera, Muscidae.